AUACGGAAGGUCCGGGCGUUAUCCGGAUUUAUUGGGUUUAAAGGGAGCGCAGGCGGAGAUGCAAGCGUGACGUCAAAUUUCGGGGCUCAACCCCGUCUCGCGUCGCGAACUGCGUCCCUUGGUUGCGGGAAGGGGAGGCGGAACUCGUGGUGUAGCGGGGAAAUGCAUAGAUAUCACGAAGAACUCCGAUCGCGAAGGCAGCCUUCCGGCCCGUCAACGACGCUCAUGCUCGAAGGUGCGGGUAUCAAACAGGAUUAGAUACCCUGGUAGUCCGCACAGUAAACGAUGGACACCCGCGGUUUGGCCUAUAUGGCUGAGCCGCCAAGCGAAAGCGUUAAGUGUCCCACCUGGGGAGUACGCCGGCAACGGUGAAACUCAAAGGAAUUGACGGG
This 392-nucleotide ribosomal RNA is filed under the name uncultured bacterium. Its description in RNAcentral is "partial 16S ribosomal RNA". It matches the Rfam family "Bacterial small subunit ribosomal RNA", at positions 523 to 917 of the family's 1533-position model. The record is from RNAcentral.